This is a long non-coding RNA of Hippocampus comes (tiger tail seahorse), 1180 nucleotides long. RefSeq lists it as uncharacterized. Lineage: Eukaryota; Metazoa; Chordata; Actinopteri; Syngnathiformes; Syngnathidae. The transcript is spliced from 3 exons. The record is from RefSeq and is a predicted model, not a curated record.
GGCAGUACAACAAAACAGACAAGGUCAAGGACAAGAAGUGGAAGUAAGAAGCACCUGAUUCAUCGCAGCUGGUCAGGGGCGGCUCCCGAACGACUUUUGAGGGGCUUUGUGGAUGAGACCCCUGGAAUAGAUCCAUUUGCACUGGGAUCUCAAGUCUGCAGGAACUGGUUUCCUUUCUACGAAAUUGAGGCCACCCAAAAUAGAUCUGUGCAUCUUCCCACAAAAGACGAUUCGAUGUUGUUUUCAGUACGUGCGGUGUGAAACGAUGAAAGGAUGGGAUCGAUUUGAAAGUGGACUGCUUCGAUUCGGUUGAUGAAUCCUGCCUCUGUCCCUCUUCCCUGAAAGAGGGAAGCACCAUUCCCCAACCCCCCGGCACCCCUCUCAUCGUUCCAAGAGGAAACACAUUUGGAAUGCUGCACAUUACAGUAGCGUCUCCCCAUUCCUCCUCCAUCCUCUCCCCAAUCUAAUUUGCCAGCACGCGAUGCAUUCAAAUUCCACGUGUCACGUGAGUGCUCCUCAUUUGCAUAAUCCUGGAAAGAAGGAGGGCGGUGUGAGCCAAUAGAAACCCGGAGUGGCAGUGACGUAAGGAAGGCGGGGCAGGAGGCUUCUCGCUUGCAGUACGUGACGUUCGAGUCAGUGUGCACUGUGCAGCUUCACUCUGCACUGAAGGAACCAGGCAGGAUAUCCCACUAUCUCUCCUCCCCUCCGAGCCAGCCCAGGGAAGAGGCACCGCGGCGUCACGGGAGAGGAUGCCCUGCUAAAUCAAGGGAUAGGCCCGGGAAAAUCAGCCGGCCCCGUCCUUUCUUUCCUUCAUUCCUCCCGCACGACAAGCGACACCCUCCUUCCACCUGGAAGCGAGAGAGAGAGAGAGAGGACGUCUGCUUCUCCUCACAAAACAACCCACCACCACGUCCACUUUGUCCCCCCACCCCCAACUCGUGUGCACGGGGGGUUCUCCGUGACGACCCCCGCGCGUGGAUUCUAUGGAACAAGGGCCGACCUGGUACUUGUUAACACGAAGGCUAACUAGUUAGCUACACCUGCUAACCACCGUUUUUCGAUAUCGACUGGGAACAAGUUUACUUUGUCUACUUAUUAUUUUUUUGUACUGCUUUCACGAGCAUUCGUUCAGAUCUAUUGUUUCUAUUUUACGAAACGAUUUUAUAAACGUUUUUUAAUA